This 1309-nucleotide long non-coding RNA is filed under the name Equus caballus (horse). Its description in RNAcentral is "lncRNA (ENSECAG00000052028.1)". Lineage: Eukaryota; Metazoa; Chordata; Mammalia; Perissodactyla; Equidae. The record is from RNAcentral.
GUUUAAGUCUAUGGUCUAUCUCUGAAUUUUUUUAUCAGAUGCAUAAGUUACAGUUGAUAUUUAAAAAGUAAAUAAGAAAAACAUGCGGGAGUCAGUGGGAACAGCCCUGGCCUUGAAGCCCAAGGUGUAUCUUGGUUGUGUCCAGCUGGGUGGCCUUGGGCAGGUCACUCCCCAGGGAACGAAGUGGGCCAAGGAGGGGCAAUCAGUGACCCACAGAAGGUCAGUACAGAUAGGUGGUGCUGGAACCUAAUCGGAGAAACGCGCUGCUCAGUGGAGAGGACACACAGCACUCCAGAGCUGGUGCGCAAGAAAGCGCGGAACUCCCCCCACCCCAUGGUGAGGAGGGUGGGCUCCCCCUCCACAGCCCCUCAGCCUUCUUUUUGGGGAGCAGUGUCAGCUCCUACGCAGCCAUUUAGCCUUCCUGCUGGUUGGAGUCGGCCACCAGAGGGCGCUGUGAGAGCGGGUCUCUAGGCCUGCAGCAUGGACGCAGCACUGGGCCCCCACCGCCAGUGCAAGGGUGGUCUUGCCUCUGAGGGGCAGGGGGAGGCUGUAGAGGUCAUGCAUGGUUCCGUGGGGAGGCGGGAGGAGGGCAGAGCGGUGCCUGCACCCAAGAUGUGGAAGGGUCCGCCUCAGCAGGCGUGCUCUCUCAGAACACAGACCUGGGAAUGGGGCCGUCAGGAGGACAAAGGCAGCCUUGGAAGGGGAGGAGGGCCUGGAAUGAAGGGCAACAUGGGGCACAUAGCAGAGGCUGGCAUCUGUGGUGGGUCGCCCACUGCAGGUUAGGAGGGGAUGGCCUACGUGCUACCAGGCCCGGGGAGCGCUUGGACGACUGACUUCUGUUUCAGUUAGGAUCAAUUCAUGACAGGUGGGAUGGAGGUGGGGGAUGGGAAACUUAUCUGUGAGGAGCUCCAGACAGCAGACACGGGGGUAAUGAGGGGUUCAUGGUUCACCCAUGGCCAACCUGGUCACUCCAGCAGCAAGGCAUUCUGGGAGUAGGAGAAAUGCUGAAUUCUGGAGAGGAAGACUUGGCUACAAACCUGUGGCCCUGGGGUGGAGCCGUCUGGCCCAGACAGAGUGAGCACUGUUCACAAGAGCUAAGACAUGGAAACAAUCCAAGUGCCUAUCGACUGAUGAUCGGAUACAGAAGAUGUGGGAUAUAUAUGAUGGAAUACUACUCAGCCAUAAAAAAAAACAAAAUCAUCCCAUUUGCAGCAAUAUGGAUGGACCUGGAGGGUAUUAUGCUAAGCAAAAUAAGCCAGACUGAGAAAGACAAACACCAUAUGAUUUCACUUAUAUGCAUAAUAUAAAC